Molecule: ribosomal RNA, 212 nt
Filed under: uncultured bacterium
Lineage: Bacteria
Description: partial 16S ribosomal RNA
Rfam family: Bacterial small subunit ribosomal RNA
Source: RNAcentral
UACGAAGGGGGGCUAGCGUUGUUUCGGAAUUACUGGGCGUAAGGGCGCGUAGGCGGUGCCUCAAGUCAGGCGUGAAAGCCCCGGGCUCAACCUGGGAACCGCGCUUGAGACUGGAGUACUAGAGUUCGGGAGAGGAUGGUGGAAUUCCCCAGUGUAGAGGUGAAAUUCGUAGAUAUUGGGAAGAACACCGAUGGCGAAGGGCAGCCAUCUGG